GUGUCAGCAGCCGCGGUAAUACGGAGGGAGCGAGCGUUGUUCGGAAUUACUGGGCGUAAAGCGUAUGUAGGCGGCUUUGUAAGUCAGGUGUGAAAUCCCAGAGCUUAACUUUGGAACUGCAUUUGAGACUGCAAGGCUUGAGUACCGGAGAGGUUGGCGGAAUUCCCAGUGUAGAGGUGAAAUUCGCAGAUAUUGGGAGGAACACCGAUGGCGCAAGCAGCCAACUGGACGGUCACUGACGCUGAGAUACGAAAGCGUGGGGAGCAAACAGGAUUAGAUACCCUGGUAGUCCACGCCAUAAACGAUGUGUGCUAGCUGCUGGAGUCCUUAGGGCUUCGGUGGCGCAGCUAACGCCUUAAGCACACCGCCUGGGGAGUACGGUCGCAAGAUUAAA
Molecule: ribosomal RNA, 394 nt
Filed under: uncultured bacterium
Lineage: Bacteria
Description: bacterial SSU rRNA
Rfam family: Bacterial small subunit ribosomal RNA
Source: RNAcentral